CACGUAGUUAGCCGAUCCUUAUUCAUGGAGUACCGUCCUUCCUCUUCCUCCAUAAAAGCGCUUUACAACCCGAAGGCCUUCAUCGCGCACGCGGCGUUGCUGCAUCAGGCUUUCGCCCAUUGUGCAAUAUUCCCUA
This 136-nucleotide ribosomal RNA is filed under the name uncultured bacterium. RNAcentral's name for it is "partial 16S ribosomal RNA". The record is from RNAcentral.